CAAUACUUUCAUAAACUUUCAUACUCUUGAGCAGACAAAACAUUGACGAACACGGGGGUUGGUGGCCCGUGGUUCCUUCCAGUCCGUCCUAGUUCAGGAUUCUAGAUACCUAAUCAGCCGUCGAAGGAUGGAUCGAGUCAACUUGUGAUAGAUCAGAUACUGUCUCUCCGUCACCCUCCGUGUGGGACCUUUUGACCUUACCAGUACUUUUUUAAAAUCAAAGUUGAUGAUGGACCUUACCAGUACUUGACUCUGAGAUGCAGCAACCAUUUCUCCAAGUUCCAGCCUCUUAGCAGUUUUCUGCAAAGGAUUUUGGAAUGAAAUCCUUGAGUACCUCUGUGGGCAAUCUGCUGCGCAAUAUUGGUUGAGCACAAUAAUCCGGCUUUUCUGGAGAAAUCUGCUUCAAAGUUUUCAGUAAAUAUUUUAGCCUAAAGAUGAUUGGAGCGUGCCCAAGGCCUGGACGGGUGCGGACAGGAUGUCGGAUGUUGUGGUCUCAAAAUCUUCCCCUUCUGCUGAAGAAAAAUAUGCGUGAAAGCUCAAAAGAUUUCAUCUUGAGAAAGCCUCUUUGAUUUUAUGUUUUGAACUUGUGGGCAAAUUGUAAUGGUUUUAGAUAACUUGUAAAUUUUCUUGUAAUUUGUCCUCUUCUACAGGGAAAAAAAGCGCUCGGUUUCUAAAAUAAAUUUAUAUAUGGCACUGAAUACUUUGGAUUGACAAUUGAGGACAACAUUGCUGUCAAUAUUGUUAACAGACAAAGCAACAUUAUGUUCCCAGUUUAAAUAUUCUUCAAUUUUCUGAGAUUUAA
Non-coding RNA from Coffea arabica (coffee), 802 nucleotides. Lineage: Eukaryota; Viridiplantae; Streptophyta; Magnoliopsida; Gentianales; Rubiaceae. The record is from RefSeq and is a predicted model, not a curated record.